UAACCUACUAUAAGACUGGGACAACUUCGGGAAACCGGAGCUAAUACCGGAUAAGAUAUCGAACCGCAUGGUUCGAUAGUGAAAGAUGGUUUUGCUAUCACUUAUAGAUGGACCCGCGCCGUAUUAGCUAGUUGGUGAGGUAACGGCUCACCAAGGCAACGAUACGUAGCCGACCUGAGAGGGUGAUCGGCCACACUGGAACUGAGACACGGUCCAGACUCCUACGGGAGGCAGCAGAA
Molecule: ribosomal RNA, 239 nt
Filed under: uncultured Staphylococcus sp.
Lineage: Bacteria; Bacillati; Bacillota; Bacilli; Caryophanales; Staphylococcaceae
Description: partial 16S ribosomal RNA
Rfam family: Bacterial small subunit ribosomal RNA
Source: RNAcentral